Molecule: long non-coding RNA, 216 nt
Filed under: Sorghum bicolor (sorghum)
Lineage: Eukaryota; Viridiplantae; Streptophyta; Magnoliopsida; Poales; Poaceae
Description: long non-coding RNA (SBIC_LNC010436)
Source: RNAcentral
UGCCCAAACCCUAACGCUUAGCCUCCGUACACAAAUACUACCAGCUGUCUUUUGGUCCGUCGGCGAACAAACAUAUCAAUCGAGUCCAUGUCUGAUUAGGUAACGAAUCAACUCCAAAUCUGAUUACGUACGUGGACACUCAGCCCGGCUUACAAAUCGAGUCUGAUACGUGUACGUGCAGGUAAAUAUGUGUACGCUCUGUUCGGCUAACUGACC